Long non-coding RNA from Hippocampus zosterae (dwarf seahorse), 3057 nucleotides. RefSeq lists it as uncharacterized. The transcript is spliced from 2 exons. The record is from RefSeq and is a predicted model, not a curated record. NCBI's taxonomy places the organism in Eukaryota, Metazoa, Chordata, Actinopteri, Syngnathiformes, Syngnathidae.
GAUCGCAUUGAUUUGUACUUAAUGUGUAUCGAAUCGUAUCGCAUCGGGAAACGGUGAAUCGUAUCGCCAGAAAAUUCCUCGUAUCGUUUAAGUAUCGCAUCGCUGGCAGUGGAUCGUGAUGUGUAUCGAAUCGUCCUCAGUGCUGAGAUUCAGAACCCUAUUCGGAAGGAGGAUUGCGAUCCGCCCCCACGCAUUUCCGAAUAGAGCACCGUAUUGGUCGGAACGUCGAGUGUCACUCCUUUUUGAUGCAGUCUGAAUAACCAAAUGGGUUGCAGAGAGUUGCCGGAACCUAUUCCAGGUGAGCUCCGGGCACAAGGCAGACUACACACUGAAUUGGUCAUCAGUCACAGGGCACAUAGAGUGACAAAAAAAACAUUCACACCCACAACCACACUGCUAUUAAGUGUUAACACUGCCCAGACACAAGUCAGGUGAGUGUACCACUUCACCAUCAGCAACAAGCACAUUCCCCUAAUGUUAAUUUCCGAACGCAGCGUAUGUUCUUUGACCAUGUGUCAAACUCAAGGCCUGGGGGCCAGAUCUGGUGUACCACAUCAUUUUAUGUUGCCCGUGAAAGCAAAUCAUGUGUGUCAACGUCCAUGCUCCUUGUCAAAUUUGUACCGAUAAUGUCAAAUUAUCCUGUGUAGGAAAUACUGCAGAAAUAAUGUUCAGAAUUCUGUUACCCUGUUUACACUCACUAAACUAAAAAUUAAACAAACCAUUAUAAUUGACUGAUUUCAAAACUAGUCAUCUAUCAAUUUUUGGUGUACAAUACGAUAAGACAAUUAAAGAUUUAUUUGGUUUCACUGUCAUAACGGCCCUCCGAGGGAACCCGGAACUUCAAAGAGGCCUGUGACAAAAAUGAGUUUGACACCCCUGUCCUAAAUCAAUCAGCUACUUGCGCUUGAACAGUUUCCAUCUCUAUUGCCUGAUGCACUGCGUCCACAAUUGCAUUUGUACCGAUAAUGUCAAAUUAUCCUGUGUAGGAAAUACUGCAGAAAUAAUGUUCAGAAUUCUGUUACCCUGUUUACACUCACUAAACUAAAAAUUAAACAAACCAUUAUAAUUGACUGAUUUCAAAACUAGUCAUCUAUCAAUUUUUGGUGUACAAUACGAUAAGACAAUUAAAGAUUUAUUUGGUUUCACUGUCAUAACGGCCCUCCGAGGGAACCCGGAACUUCAAAGAGGCCCGUGACAAAAAUGAGUUUGACACCCCUGUCCUAAAUCAAUCAGCUACUUGCGCUUGAACAGUUUCCAUCUCUAUUGCCUGAUGCACCGCGUCCACAAUUGCAAAAUUAUUGGUCAAAUGGCCGGUAGUUUUUGCGUUUAUGUAAUCGACGCUUUUACAGCAGUUGUACACAAGUAACACUGGUCUUAUGAUGUACUACACAAAAAUGUAUACCUUAAACCUUUUAUCCUUAAAUAUAUACAAAGAGGUUUGUUGAUCUGCUGCAGCAUUAGUCUGCUUUUUUAUGAGGUCUACUGUACUUGAUCACAAAUGACAGCAAACUGAAAUUACACAAACUCUUUUGUGUGAUAGUGGACCUCUUUGUGGUUUGGCACUGCUCUUUUAGAAAUUACAGGAAUACAUGAUGAUGAGGCUAACCCUUGAGGAUACAGUACGGUAAGUUUAUUUAAACAGAAAAAAUGAAAAGAAGAACAAGAACAAUUUUCCUCAAGAAAAAAAAAAGUGUACUGCAGUUCUGUUCAAUGUCUUCAAUAUCAAAAUGUACAUAAUCACUGUAUCAAGUUAAAGAUGAAAAAGCAAACAUAUUUACAUUUCUUUUUCUACAUUGUUAAGUUGACUUGGCACACUCUGCCACAUCCAGCUUCUUGCCACUGUCGCACAUUUUGGCCAGAUUCUGUUGAGAGAAAAGCACUGUAUGAGAUGAUGAAAUGGCUGGAAAAAAUAAACUGGCAAUUUAUCAAAGGAAAUCUUACAUUCGCAGCUCGAAUGACGCUGGUGGGAGACUGGAUGGCUGCAAGGUCUGUUAGUAUUUUCUUGAGAUCACAGUUGUAUGGAUGUUCUGAAGCAGUUGAAAACGUGUCACAUGAUGGUCCUCAACAAAAUGAGCCUUUCAAUCUUAUUUUGACUUUCACUACAUUCCAAAUUAUUGGGCAUACAGAUUUCUACAUUAACAAUGGCCAAGGGCCACCACGUGACUGUGUUGGGCCACCCAAAGGCUGCUGACGCUAGCAUUGCAACUUUAGCAGGCAGAGACCCGGAGUGAGAAAAGCAGUCUAAAUACAGAACCUGUACGUAGAUGUUUUUUAGGGCUAACUUCAGAUGCUGUGGCUUUAGGUAUGCUUUGUCGACCAGAAAAUUAAAGUUCAUUCUACAUACUUAAUCACACAGAGCACAUUGUAUAUAUUUGUAUGAUGAAUGUAUGUACCUGGUUCCGGAGACCUUUGUGGCUUAAGUUGCAGGUAUGGAUGCUCCAGCAGUUCUACAAUGGAUAUUCGCUCCCUAGGACUUCGGACCAAGCAUCUCUGUCAAACAAGAAGCCGUAUUCGCGGUUACAAAAUACACAGAGGUUUGCUGAUACAUCUCAGGCAGUGUUGUUUCUGAAGACCACCAUUCUAGUUUUUUGCAAUACCAAAGUUGAGUAAUUUAUGAUCUCAUGAUGAUUCUCAAUUGACCAAAAGACUAAAUCAAAAUGUCUUCUUGAGAGGAGCUGUGACCGUUUUCAGAACUCGCAUUCAUUAAAUUAACUUGUACAUUGUACUUGUAUGUUACAUCUAAGGAAGAUUUGGACUGAUGAUGUAUGCAACUUGGGAAGCUUCUCAUUUCUUUAGUUGACUUUGUUUUAAAAUAAUACAAUAUAAUGUGUCUUUUAUCAUUGAGAACAUGAACACCAAAUACAAAUAAUUGCUGUAUAAACGACCGAUCACCAAGACAAAAAAUUGUUGUUUUCGGGCUCUUACUUUCAACACAUCCAGCAAGUCCUUCUCUGAGAUGUCAGGAAAUGCAAUUUUAUGGCUGGGAUUGAUGAUGGCAUGCAUCUUGCUGAUUCGAUUGGUGAUGCUUUGGAAUGGACUCUUUCUGUAUGUCAUAUA